AUUGAACGCUGGCGGCAUGCUUUACACAUGCAAGUCGAACGGUAACAGGCCGCAAGGUGCUGACGAGUGGCGAACGGGUGAGUAAUGCAUCGGAACGUGCCCAGUCGUGGGGGAUAACUACUCGAAAGAGUAGCUAAUACCGCAUACGAUCUAUGGAUGAAAGCGGGGGACCGUAAGGCCUCGCGCGAUUGGAGCGGCCGAUGUCAGAUUAGGUAGUUGGUGGGGUAAAGGCUCACCAAGCCAACGAUCUGUAGCUGGUCUGAGAGGACGGCCAGCCACAGGGGGACUGAGAACCGGCCCAGCCCCCUAGGGGGGGCAGGAGGGGGGAAUUUGGGAAAAGGGGGGAAAGCCUGACCCAGAAAGGCGCGGGGAAGGAAGAAGGCCUUCGGGUUGAAAACUGCUUUUGUACGGAACAAAACGGCUCUGGUUAAUACCCGGGGCUAAGGACGGUACCGAAAGAAAAAGCCCCGGCUAACUCCGU
Molecule: ribosomal RNA, 481 nt
Filed under: uncultured bacterium
Lineage: Bacteria
Description: partial 16S ribosomal RNA
Rfam family: Bacterial small subunit ribosomal RNA
Source: RNAcentral